GAUGAGGAAGUUGCAACAAAGGAAAUGGUGCAUCUAAAGGAAUUGCUUGCACAAUAUGUUGCCAUAGUUUCAACACGUUAUCAACAGGAUUUGCAAAACCAAAGGCGGUAGCAACAGAGAGCAAGGCAUUAAGUACGACAUCAGAUUGUGAAAGUAUUUGAUGUGUAUUGAAAUUGUUUGUCUUUUUUCGAUUCAAAUGGUCAAACAAUAACUUUAGAAUGUAUUCCUUGGGAUUCUUUUCAUUUGGCACCAACGAAGUUAAUUCCUUGCUGGAAGCAAAGAGAGACAAAAGUUCAUCAAGUGUUAGGCUAGUUUCCAUUUUUGGAAACCACUCAUCCACUGUAUCGACGUGGACAUGGUCUCUGGUAUAUGUACGACUACCAUACCACCAUUUGCCUACUGCAUACGGUAAAACGAUACCAAAAACAAGUCCAUAAAAACCAAGGAUAUAUAUGCUGUUUUCUGACUCGGAAAUCCACUUUGGAAGGGCUAUACCAACUGAAAUGUGUUGAGGAACAUCAGGAGUACCGUAUAAAGCAUAAUUUUCGCGAGUUUUAUCAUCAGUUAAAGCUCUGUAGGCAUUGGUGAUUUCAAUAUAAUGCUUCUCAACCUCUUCUCUAGUAGUAUUUACCAUAUUCCUGACCUUGUCAGGGUGAAAUUUAAUUGAGAGUCUUUUAUAAUGACGACGAACAUCAUCCACUGAAGUGCCUUUAGCAAUGCCCAGAAUUUCAUACGGAUCCCAAAU
Schizosaccharomyces pombe (fission yeast) is the source of this 745-nucleotide non-coding RNA. The record is from the annotation of a GenBank genome assembly. Lineage: Eukaryota; Fungi; Ascomycota; Schizosaccharomycetes; Schizosaccharomycetales; Schizosaccharomycetaceae.